This 690-nucleotide ribosomal RNA is filed under the name Triticum aestivum (bread wheat). RNAcentral describes it as "partial small subunit ribosomal RNA". The record is from RNAcentral. Lineage: Eukaryota; Viridiplantae; Streptophyta; Magnoliopsida; Poales; Poaceae.
AUGGCGCGCGGGGAAGCCCUGCCGCCGCCUACCACCGCGCGGGCCAAGCCCGGCGGCAGUUGCCGGCGGCGGCGGGGGAGAGAGGACAGGAGGAAGGGGACCGAGGCGGCGCGAGGGUUUCGCCCCCGAGUCGCCCGCUCGGGCGACGCGGGGGAAGUGGAUCGAGAGGACUGUAUCGACGUCUUCAUCCGCCACCUCGGCCGCGGCGACGCCGACGAAGAGUUCAUGCGCGGCGUCGCGGACAAGCUCGGGCAGCUUCGGGCGCGCCACCAGAUCGGCAAGCGGGUCGAGGCCCUCGAAGCUCGCGUCGUCGAGGAGGCCGAGCGCACCAAAAGGUACAGUCUCGGCCAUGGCGAUCCCGGUCCCGCGGCCUCCAUGGGCAGGCGGCCGGAGUCCUCCUCGGUGGACGCUCGGCUGUCCGCGCUCUACGGCGAGGUCGGGGGUCUCGUGGGGAUCGAGAGGCCAAGGGACAAGAUUAUCCGCCUCUUGGAUGACAAGGAGAAGGAGCUGAAGGCGGUGUCCGUUGUUGGAUCUGGAGGGCAGAAAUUUUGCAUAGAACCAUGGUCCAGCCGCACCUAUGCUCAGCACCACACAUCUCACUAUAGUUUCUACAGGGAUCUGUGCAUGGCGGGUUCAGUAAAGCAUGGCGGGAACAAUCAAGAGAUGGGUUACAAGGCCUACGCAUGCUAA